GACGAACGCUGGCGGCGUGCCUAAUACAUGCAAGUCGAGCGGAUGGAAGGGAGCUUGCUCCCUGAAGUUAGCGGCGGACGGGUGAGUAACACGUGGGCAACCUGCCUGUAAGACUGGGAUAACUUCGGGAAACCGGAGCUAAUACCGGAUACGUUCUUUCCUCGCAUGAGGAAAGAUGAAAAGAUGGUUUCGGCUAUCACUUACAGAUGGGCCCGCGGCGCAUUAGCUAGUUGGUGGGGUAACGGCCCACCAAGGCGACGAUGCGUAGCCGACCUGAGAGGGUGAUCGGCCACACUGGGACUGAGACACGGCCCAGACUCCUACGGGAGGCAGCAGUAGGGAAUCGUCCGCAAUGGACGAAAGUCUGACGGAGCAACGCCGCGUGAGCGAAGAAGGCCUUCGGGUCGUAAAGCUCUGUUGUCAGGGAAGAACAAGUGCCAGAGUAACUGCUGGCACCUUGACGGUACCUGACCAGAAAGCCACGGCUAACUACGUGCCAGCCGCCGCUGUAA
This 512-nucleotide ribosomal RNA is filed under the name uncultured bacterium. Its description in RNAcentral is "partial 16S ribosomal RNA". It matches the Rfam family "Bacterial small subunit ribosomal RNA", at positions 28 to 523 of the family's 1533-position model. The record is from RNAcentral.